This 249-nucleotide ribosomal RNA is filed under the name Triticum aestivum (bread wheat). Its description in RNAcentral is "partial small subunit ribosomal RNA". Lineage: Eukaryota; Viridiplantae; Streptophyta; Magnoliopsida; Poales; Poaceae. The record is from RNAcentral.
UGGUUCCACCAGGCUGAAGAAAGAAUUAAACAACUUCCAAACCCAACAAAGUGGCCAGACUUCAACGUGGCCACAUGGGACAAGAAGACAAUCAAAGGGCUGCCAACCCAGAAAGACGGGAGCUCUUGUGGACUCUACCUUCUCAAGUACAUAAUGCUUUGGACGGGAUCCAAACUAUCCAAAACAUUUUCAAAGGUGCGCAUAUUUAGACUAUUUCAUGGGUGCACUGUACAUUACUUUCUUGGUUAA